Non-coding RNA from Paramuricea clavata, 407 nucleotides. The record is from the annotation of a GenBank genome assembly. Lineage: Eukaryota; Metazoa; Cnidaria; Anthozoa; Malacalcyonacea; Plexauridae.
CCAACGGCAACGUGACUUGGACGCGAAUGUUUUAACUAGCGCUUUUUGGAUGGAAUAUACUGAAUUUUUCAAGUAAAAUAUCUUGCUAUGUGUGAGGUGAGAAGUAUAGCACAAUAAUCAAAACCAACUGAAGCGAAAAAAGAAAGGUAAGGCUAGUUUCGAUGAUGCAAUUUUCAGUACAACGGUCGUGUAGUCAUACGGUAAUAAAGACCGUAUAUAAAGAUGGCUGCAUUUCUUGAUCAGUUUUAUUCGGUUUUAUUUUGAUAUUUUAGAAGGUUCUGCCUUCAACUUGAUCCUGUAGGUGCGUGGUUGAGAAGCAAGAAGUAGUACACGAGUCAAAACCAAAGCAAAGGCAACGGGAAAGGUAAGGAGUCUACAGACUUUUAAUGUCAUUUUAAUACAUCGAC